GAAAACAGCACUUCCUGUACCCAGCAAUCACAGAGCUGCUCUUGGAAUUUAACGCCCUGGUGGUUCUCAAAUGCCAUCUGAAAAACAUUAUUAUUGUUACCCAUCAUGACUUCUGGGUAGUGGAAGGUGAAUGGGAGAAAUCUCUCCCCAUUUGAAGAAAUGGGGAACCAGUCUCACUUUGUUGCCCAGGCUGGAGUGCAGUGGCACAAUCUUGCUCACUGCAACCACCACCUCCCGGGUUCAAGCGAUCCUCCCACCUCAACCUCCCAAGUAGCUGGGUCUACAGGCGUGCGCCACCACACCCGGCUAAUUUUUGUGUUUUUAGUAGAGACAGAGUUUCACCAUGUUGGCCAGGCUGGUCUCAAACUCCUAACCUCAAGUGAUUGGCCCACCUGGGCCUCCCAAAGUGCUGGGAUUACAGGUGUGAUUGGGGAAGGGCAAAGAUGAUUUCUGCAAAUGUUGCCCUUUUUUAUUAAAAAUAGCUUCUGUGGUCUUUCUUAUAAAAGCAAUACAUGUUUAUUGAAAAAGAAAUCAGGCUGGGCCUGGUGGCUCACACCUGUAAUCCCAGCACUUUGGUAGGCCGAGGCAGGCAGAUCAUCUGAGGUCAGGAGUUGGAGACCAGCCCGGUCAACAUGGUGAAACCCCAUCUCUACUAAAAAUACAAAAAUUAGCCAAGUGUCCU
This 682-nucleotide long non-coding RNA is filed under the name Pan troglodytes (chimpanzee). Its description in RNAcentral is "long non-coding RNA NONPTRT005957". The record is from RNAcentral. Lineage: Eukaryota; Metazoa; Chordata; Mammalia; Primates; Hominidae.